Rattus norvegicus (Norway rat) is the source of this 69-nucleotide non-coding RNA. NCBI's taxonomy places the organism in Eukaryota, Metazoa, Chordata, Mammalia, Rodentia, Muridae. The record is from Rfam.
GGGGAUUUAGCUCAGUGGUAGAGCGCUUGCCUAGGAAGCGCUAGGCCCUGGGUUCGGUCCCCAGCUCCA